GGCUUAAUAGAAAUUAAUUUUAGGUCGAUCUGCCCAAUGAUUUUUAAAAAUUUAAUGGCUGCAGUAUAUCUAACUGUACAAAGGUAGCAUAAUCAAUUGUUUCUUAAUUAGGAACUGGUAUGAAAGAAUUAAUGAGAUAUAUACUGUCUCAUAUAAAUUUAAUGAAUUUAAAUUUUUAGUAAAAAUGCUUAAAUAAUUUUAUGGGACGAUAAGACCCUAUAGAAUUUUAUAUAAAUAUUUAAUUAAUUAUUUAUUUAAAUAUUUAUAUUUAAUUGGGAGGAUUAGUAAAUUAAAUUAACUUUAUUUUAAAUAUUAACUUUGAUUAAAGGAUAAUUAUUGAUAUUGUAAUAUAAAUUUAAAGAAAAAAUUACCUUAGGGAUAACAGCGUAAUAUCUUUUUAAAGAUCAAAUUGAUAAAGAUGAUUGCGACCUCGAUGUUGAAUUAAGAUAAAUUUUAAAUGUAGAUGUUUAAAGAUUAAGUCUGUUCGACUUUUAAAAUCUUACAUGAUUUGAGUUCAAAUCGACGUGAGU
This 530-nucleotide ribosomal RNA is filed under the name Bombus haemorrhoidalis. Its description in RNAcentral is "partial 16S ribosomal RNA". It matches the Rfam family "Bacterial large subunit ribosomal RNA", at positions 1825 to 2626 of the family's 2925-position model. The record is from RNAcentral. Lineage: Eukaryota; Metazoa; Arthropoda; Insecta; Hymenoptera; Apidae.